CCGCCCAGGGCUGCCGGAUGGUACCUUCCCGUGGAGAAAAAUGAUUUUGUCCCGCGCGGACUCCCGCAGCACUUUUUUCACUCUAAAGCCGGAGAACGGCCCGAGUUGAGGCUGGUGCUGAGGAAGAGAAAAGAAGGCAGCGAGUCUCUAACCAGGCCGCCUAAUGAUGGAGGCGGCACUCCCCGCCGCCCUGGGUGCCAGAUUCGGAAAACACCCUUUGGACUCUGUGGAUGCUUUGACACCUGACACACCGUGGGUUGAAUACUGACGUUUUUAUUAAGAAUUAUACCAACAUUGCUUAGCGUGGAAGGAAUGUUUCUGAAACAGAUCUGUUGAGCCAAUCUUCUUGUUCGAUUUUUUGUAAGAGAGCCAUUAAAUCAUUUCCAUUGUUCA
Long non-coding RNA from Hyaena hyaena (striped hyena), 393 nucleotides. RefSeq lists it as uncharacterized. The transcript is spliced from 2 exons. The record is from RefSeq and is a predicted model, not a curated record. Lineage: Eukaryota; Metazoa; Chordata; Mammalia; Carnivora; Hyaenidae.